GCCAAGCUGCCAAAGACAUCAAGGCCACAAAUCGACCACCACUUUUUAAAACUCACAUUUUUUCUUUGUUUGCAGCAGGAACAAAGCAGUGCAGAAUGUCGAUUCCUAAAGGACGAAUGUCACCAAAGGUAAGUUUUCUUAAGAUCUCCAAUUUUCCUUUAUUUUUAGCAUGCAUCACUACUUUUUAUACCUCUCAUUUUCGUAGCUUAACCCAGGUAGAACCUUUUAGCCUAGGAGGAUCCAGAUCAUAGUUCCGGGUAGAAGUACUCUUCGCCCAGGCUUGUUUUACGUAGCUUAACCUAGGUAGAACAUUUUCGCCUAGGGGGAUCCAGAUCAUAGUUCCGGGUAGAAGUACUCUUCGCCCAGGUUAUUUUACGUAGCUUAAUCCAGGUAGAAUAUUUUCGCCUAGGGGGAUCCAGCUCAUAGUUCCGGGUAGAAGUACUCUUCGCUCAAGUUGUUUUACGUAGCUUAAUCCAGGUAUAAUCUUUUUGCCUAGGGGGAUCCAGCUCAUAGUUACGAGUAGAAGUACUCUUCGCUCAGGUUGUUUUACGUAGCUUAACCCAGGUAGAACUUUUUUCACCUAGGGGAAUCUAGCUCAUAUUUCCUGGUAGAAGUAGUAUUCGCCCAGGCUUAUUUUUCGUAGCUUAACCCAGGUAGAACCUUUUCGCUUAGGGGGAUCCAUCU
RNAcentral lists this long non-coding RNA (684 nucleotides) under Nicotiana tabacum (common tobacco). RNAcentral's name for it is "long non-coding RNA (NTAB_LNC006798)". The record is from RNAcentral. Lineage: Eukaryota; Viridiplantae; Streptophyta; Magnoliopsida; Solanales; Solanaceae.